GCAACGCGAAGAACCUUACCUGGUCUUGACAUCCACGGAAGUUUUCAGAGAUGAGAAUGUGCCUUCGGGAACCGUGAGACAGGUGCUGCAUGGCUGUCGUCAGCUCGUGUUGUGAAAUGUUGGGUUAAGUCCCGCAACGAGCGCAACCCUUAUCCUUUGUUGCCAGCGGUCCGGCCGGGAACUCAAAGGAGACUGCCAGUGAUAAACUGGAGGAAGGUGGGGAUGACGUCAAGUCAUCAUGGCCCUUACGACCAGGGCUACACACGUGCUACAAUGGCGCAUACAAAGAGAAGCGACCUCGCGAGAGCAAGCGGACCUCAUAAAGUGCGUCGUAGUCCGGAUUGGAGUCUGCAACUCGACUCCAUGAAGUCGGAAUCGCUAGUAAUCGUGGAUCAGAAUGCCACGGUGAAUACGUUCCCGGGCCUUGUACACACCGCCCGUCACACCAUGGGAGUGGGUUGCAAAAGAAGUAGGUAGCUUAACCUUCGGGAGGGCGCUUACCACUUUGUGAUUCAUGACUGGGGUGAAGUCGUAACAAGGUAACCGUAGGGGAACCUGCGGUUGGAUCAC
Molecule: ribosomal RNA, 570 nt
Filed under: Escherichia coli
Lineage: Bacteria; Pseudomonadati; Pseudomonadota; Gammaproteobacteria; Enterobacterales; Enterobacteriaceae
Description: bacterial SSU rRNA
Rfam family: Bacterial small subunit ribosomal RNA
Source: RNAcentral